UUCCGGUUGAUCCCGCCGGAGGUCACUGCUAUCCGGAUCCGACUAAGCCAUGCAAGUCUUGGUGUUCAAUUUUGGACACCAUGGCGAAAAGCUCAGUAACACGUAGUUAACCUGCCCUCACGUCCGGGAUAAUCUCGGGAAACUGAGGCUAAUACCGGAUAGGUAAGAAUUCCUGGAAUGGAUUCUUAUCCAAAGCUUCGGCGCGUGAGGAUGGGACUGCGGCGGAUUAGGUUUUUGCUAGGGUAAAGUCCUGGCAAGCAUAUAAUCCGUACGGGCCUUGAGAGAGGGAGCCCGGAGAUGGAUUCUGAGACAAGAAUCCAGGCCCUACGGGGCGCAGCUGGCGCGAAAAUUUCCCAAUGCCCGAAAGGGUGAGGAAGGGAUCUGGAGUGUCUUCUCAUUUUGGGAAGACUUUUGCGGAGUGUAAAUAGCUCCGCGAAUAAGUGGUGGGUAAGACGGGUGCCAGCCGCCGCGGUAAUACCCGCGCCACGAGUGGUGACCACGCUUAUUGGGCUUAAAGCGUUCGUAGCCGGUUCAACAAGUCUCUAGUGAAAUCCCACAGUCAACUGUGGGGCUUGCUAGGGAAACUGUUGAACUUGGGACCGGGAGAGGUCGAGGGUAUUCCAGGGGUAGGGGUAAAAUCCUGUAAUCCCUGGGNGANCACCUGKGGSGUGGCCUUUCUAUCUCGCUUAAAGCGUUAAUGGAAGGCCCCACAGAAGGCGCUCGACCAGAACGGAUCCGACGGUGAGGGACGAAAGCUAGGGGAGCGAAGGGGAUUAGAUACCCCCGUAGUCCUAGCCGUAAACGAUGCCCACUAGGCGUCAGCAAUCUCAUGGGGGUUGCUGGUGCCGGAGCGAAAGCGUUAAGUGGGCCGCCUGGGGAGUACGGUCGCAAGGCUGAAACUUAAGGGAAUUGGCGGGGGAGCACACAAGGGGUGGAGGCUGCGGUUUAAUUGGAUUCAACGCCGGG
RNAcentral lists this ribosomal RNA (966 nucleotides) under uncultured archaeon. Its description in RNAcentral is "bacterial SSU rRNA". It matches the Rfam family "Archaeal small subunit ribosomal RNA", at positions 1 to 922 of the family's 1478-position model. The record is from RNAcentral.